UUUAGCAGCCUCACCUGGUGUCCGAGUGUGAUUGGAGUCGGCCAGGUGAGGCCGCUUA
Gadus morhua (Atlantic cod) is the source of this 58-nucleotide microRNA precursor. NCBI's taxonomy places the organism in Eukaryota, Metazoa, Chordata, Actinopteri, Gadiformes, Gadidae. The record is from Ensembl.